Molecule: ribosomal RNA, 253 nt
Filed under: uncultured bacterium
Lineage: Bacteria
Description: partial 16S ribosomal RNA
Rfam family: Bacterial small subunit ribosomal RNA
Source: RNAcentral
UACAGAGGUGCCAAGCGUUAGGCGGAAUCACUGGGCUUAAAGCGUGUGUAGGCGGAUCGUUAAGUGCCUUGUGAAAUCCCAUGGCUUAACCAUGGAACUGCUCGGCAUACUGGCGGUCUUGAGCCCUCUAGGGGCUACCGGAACAAAUGGUGGAGCGGUGAAAUGCGUAGAUAUCAUGUGGAACGCCAAUGGUGAAAACAGGUAGCUGGGGAUGUGCUGACGCUGAGACACGAAAGCCAGGGGAGCGAACGGG